Molecule: long non-coding RNA, 550 nt
Filed under: Chlamydomonas reinhardtii
Lineage: Eukaryota; Viridiplantae; Chlorophyta; Chlorophyceae; Chlamydomonadales; Chlamydomonadaceae
Description: long non-coding RNA (CREI_LNC001082)
Source: RNAcentral
CAGAUCCUGAGCUACUCCUGAUAACUAAUACAGCGCACAAUCAUCGAGAUUCCCAGUACAAUUCCAACCCAAAUUCCUGACCGCUUUUGCGUCCUCCUUUCCCCCUUUCCUCCCUCCAGGCCACCCUGCUGUACAUCCAGAUGUCCGACGCCACCCUGACCCUGGACUCCCUGACCGCUGAGUCCGGUGGCCAGCUCAAGAACCGCGUGCGCACCUGGAUCGCCGGCUCCAUCAUGACCGCCGCCGUCAACUGCUUCCUGAUCAUCGCCCUGGGCAUGACCGAGGCCCAGGUGGAGGCUAUCUCCGGCGAGAAGGCCACCGCUGUUUAAUGCGCCUGGUGCGUAGUGUUACGCGAGUGUGAGCAGCUGACCUGAUGAGCGUGACCCACUUUGCCGCUGCCAUUGUGCGGUGGCCUGACCUGACUGAGUGACAUCUAAAUUUGGGCUGUUUCUUAUUGCGCAUCCGCGAAUGACCUCUCGGACCAACUGACGGAAAAUAACGAGCGUGGUGGACAUCCUCCUGCGACACGAGCGUUGCGUGGCCACUUAAC